AGUUUCCGGGAAGUCCAUACAGAAAUACCUGGAACUCGACCCCCGAAUCCUUCCUGUCGGCACUUCUGCUGGCAGCGUGCCCCAGACAGAAUCCAGGCAGAACAGAUCCUUAAAGAAGACAUCAGUGGAAGCUCAGAAGAAGAGAGAAGUUAGAAGCCAAAAGGUGGCAGUCCCCAGAGAGACCCCCUCCACCCAGCAUUGUGCCGGAGAAGCUGCCUGGCGCAUCCGCCGUAAGAGAGGACGCGUGGCCUUCUCUCCGUGGUCCUGCAGUGGUAUUGAGAGGAGCCCCGGUGGAGAGGCUGAGGAGCCUCACUCACAUCUGGACUUGAUCAGGUGGUGAGGUCCUGGACUCAAAACCAUGCCGAGGUUCCGGAGGGAGCAGAAAUUUGUCCAGAGCAACGUCCAGCCUGGGCCUGGGCCACAGGAGACAUGAAGGAGCACAAGCAAUCUGCCAUCUGAGUUUGGCCCAGAGGAUUUUUAGCUAACUUCUAGAGUGGCGAGAGCCACAGGGACACGGAGAGGACUCUGGUCAUGGGACAGCUGCCUCUAUCUGCAGGGCUAGGGCAUCUCCCAGAGUUUGGAGAUUUCCAGCCCACCUUACAGCUGCUAGGACUCUCACCUGUCAUCCCGGGGAAAGGCCCGCCUCCCGCACAGUGUGGGAUGCAGCUGGUCACUAGCUCUAGAGUGCUUCCCGGCUUCCAGCAGCAGCUCCCUGGUUGCGAAGGGAAAGCUCAGACCAGGAGGCUGCAGAUGUUUCUGGACCUAAGGGACACAGAGCCAUGUCUACUGGUAGUUCCUGAGGAAAGUGCACGGGAGAAAAAUGAGCUCAAGUACCGAAAAUGACUCAGUGUGGUUGAUUCAACUACUUUGCAGUUAUAAAAGCCAGGUGUAAGCGACUGCAAUUAUAACUCCCCCAGACGGCAGUUCCACAUACAUGGCUGUGCACUCUCAAGUUUGUUUGUGUCUUUAUUGCCCGGUUUUCGCUAGGCUAAGAGCAUGAGCAGACAGACAGUUCCGCAGGGUUUUAACUUAAAUGAAGGCUCGCUGCAGAUACGGAGCUUCCGGAGGCUGGGUACAAGUCACGGCGGCACGCACGAUACACACAAAGCAGUGCUACCCGACAACUGAAAGAAUAGCUUACGAAAUGGCCCUGCUAACUGCCAUCCCUCCUCUCCGCCUCCUUCUCCCUCCAGCAGCAUGAUCGUGAUGCUGUACAUUGCAGGGUUGCUGCACUCCUCACGUGAACCUGUGGCCUAGUGACUUAUCCCUGAGGCACGCUAUAAUCACUGAGAAAUGUGCUCCCUGUCACGUCUUAUUGCUUAAUUAUGGCUCUAUUUUAGGCUCCUAGAGCCAUUUGGCUUGGCAAGACCUCUCUUAUGUGUGACUUUGAACAUGCAUCCACGUUGAGUUAUCCUUGAGUUCACACCCAUCUGUUCCAUUUCCAUCUUGUUCUGGCUUGGGCAGUAAUUAUUGCCCCUUGGUUCAGCAACGCCUUGAAUCAUGGCAAUGAGCCCUUACAAUUACGGUAGGCUGCACCUAAGAAGAUACUAUCAAUCCUUUGUCAGAAAGGCAUGUUCUUCAAGUUAAUUUUCCCAAUAUUUGAAGUUUGUUUUUUGUUUGUUUUUUCCCUGAUAAAUCCCGGUGGGCCCACUGUUUCAAAUCAGUGACGUGCAAAAACUUCCCCAUUUUCCAAUUGACUCUUGCUCUGGUGACUACGUUUUUUUUAAAACUCAAAAUCUGGACAUAUUGUCUAACAGAGGUUUUGUUGUUGUUGUUUUGGUUGAGUGUGUUGUCCCCCGGGGCUAACAGCAAACUGGAAGACCUGGCAGGUCCUAGGUACAGUCUUAGAUUGCAAACCAACUGGGCAGAAUAUUUACAAUUAAAAGUGUUGGAAAAUUUCGGGACUUCCGGAGGAUGUGUCCAUAUUCAGUGUUCCUACCGUUUAUUCUGUCCCUUCACUAAUAAAGCAUUUGUUUUAAGAGUGUCAAUCUUAGUCCUUCAAGUAGACUAGAAGCUUCUUAGAGACAAAAGGCACAGAUCCUACCCACCUCUUCCAGAGCUCUGUCCAUGUAUGUCGCUAUAUCCCGUUGUUUGAUCAAUUGCACAGGGAUGAUGUUGCAUUUUUAAGACAGCUGUUUGGGAUUAGGAGCUUGCAAAAGUGGCCUGACACUGAGGUGAAGGCAGACUGGAAAUCAGUGUCCCGCUUCCUCCCUCCAGAGAGUAGUUCAAGUCGGGCCUGGGGUAGAUCUAUGUUGUGAAGGGGUAUAAUUACCCUGGUCCAGAGCGGCCCCGGGUCUUGUCUGGCAGACUGAGUUAUAUCUAUCAGGGCCUUUUGAAACGCUGACUUGGCUCCUUAGAAAUACAAAACCCAAAACAUCAUUUGUAAAGGUCACGGGGAAUGGCCCGGGUCAGAAUAACUGGAGUCCGCUUUGUGCCAGUGCCUCAGAAGAGGAAGUUGCUGAACGCCGAGAUAAAGCUCCUGGAGCGCGCCGUGUUGCCAGAGACAAACAAAGAGCAGGAGCGGUUUGCAGCUGAGUCUUUACUCUGCAAUUCAAAUGCCAGUCCAGCAAUGAAACUGGCUCUAGGAAUUCCAGUCAGAUUUUUAUCAUCUGACUUGGAAACCAGCUGUGCUCUUAGUGAGCACGAAGAUUUACUACCUGCAAUUGCUAUAAUUCAGUCAGCAGAAUUAUGCAGAGGUGAAAAAUUUGAGAAAAACUCCUUAUUUUAAAUGCAACACAAACUGUGUUUGAAGAAAUCCUACUUCUCUGACACUGAUAAAAAUGGCUCUGAUUUCAAGAAAGGGGCAGGGAGUCCAAGUAGAGGAACUCUUACGCUUGGGAAUUCAGUUUAUUCUGCAUAUUCUUCAGAGUAUGCUUUUUAAAAGUCCCGAGUAAAACUUACUACAAUUUGGUAAAGAGCAUCUUUUAUGCAGAGCAGGUGAGAAAACAUAAAGUAGUUAACUCCACAAUUACGGAGCACAUCGAGAGCCCUGCCAACCUCACUGUCCAGCGCCCUGAGAACUGGAAGAGAACGGAAUUUAACUCUAAGGACAGCUCUGCAAAGUGGCCCAAUAAACUCAUGGCCGCCAUUCUGAACCAAUAAUUUCCUUCGCAGAAACUAACAAUUACUGUGGAUUUGUGAGCCCAUAUAUCAAAAGUCCCUUGAAUGUAUUUUACGAUUUUGAAAGCCAUCAGGGCUGUCCUGGAGAAGCCAGUGCAUAUGGUGCUCAUACCAUGGGAGCCCCAUGUCUCCUUCAUUGGCCCGCGCCCCUCACACGUGGGCUACAGCUGCCUUGCACACCGCUGAUGCAACAGAACUCCGUCACUUAUAUCAUCACCUGAACCCUCGGGUACCACCCCGGGAAAGCCAAGCAAGGUAAGUUUUCCAGAAUAAUGAUUUCAGUGGCCCACGGACCAACCGAUGUGAAAGCAUUUCCCACGCGCAAACACAACCCCUGCAUGGGUUCUACAGCAACAUUUUCAAGAGGGAAGAUACAUCAGGAGUUUAGAACUGCACUUGUUGUUUGUUGAUUUAUUAAUGAUGGCCAUUCUGACAGGUGUGAGGUA
Molecule: long non-coding RNA, 3566 nt
Organism: Phyllostomus discolor (pale spear-nosed bat)
Lineage: Eukaryota; Metazoa; Chordata; Mammalia; Chiroptera; Phyllostomidae
Exons: 5
Source: RefSeq, a predicted model, not a curated record